Homo sapiens (human) is the source of this 640-nucleotide long non-coding RNA. Ensembl annotates it as CCDC26 long non-coding RNA. Its record names the gene CCDC26. Lineage: Eukaryota; Metazoa; Chordata; Mammalia; Primates; Hominidae. The record is from Ensembl.
AGAACGUCUGUUGCUCUUGGUAAUGAGUGACAGUUCUCCGCUGUCGGUGUUGCCUCAGCUUCUCAAAGUUUCUGGUGUUUAUGAAGAUCCAUAACAGCUGGCUGCAAACCCAACUCCUGAGAAUCAUUUCUGGGAGAAUGCCGAAGACUGCAUUUCAACUUCAAGAAUGGGCGGAUAGGAGCUGAACACCGUGGCUCAAGUGGCAAAUGAAGAGUCCAGCACAACAAACAGCCAUCAUAUGGUGCAAAUAGCAGGAGAGACCCCAUUGCCACCUGAUUUCUGCAUGAUCUAUUUGUGGUGGCAUGAGGCACUACAGGAGAGGUACCCUGCUGCCUUCCAGCAGUAAUGGAAGAGAUUAUGUGGACUAUGUGUUCUAGGAAAUAAACUUUUAAGACUCCAGCUGGCUCGGCAAUAAUAUAGGUGGUUCUAACGACACUGCUUAGUUAUGGGAAACCAUCACUGAAGAAAUGGGCCCAUUUAGUAUCAUCUCCCAUCUUGUCAUGAAUAUCAGAAGCCUGGAAGACAGGGAUAAAAAAAUGGGUGAAACAUGUUUGGCAUCUGGAGUUUCUGGAAAGUGCAGCCAAACCUCUUCGCUAUGCUUUGUGUUGGUUCUGGGCUGAUUAAAGUUAUCCACAUUGUA